RNAcentral lists this non-coding RNA (20 nucleotides) under Arabidopsis thaliana (thale cress). Lineage: Eukaryota; Viridiplantae; Streptophyta; Magnoliopsida; Brassicales; Brassicaceae. The record is from RNAcentral.
CACGGGCCUGGCUCAACCCG